Neofelis nebulosa (Clouded leopard) is the source of this 218-nucleotide long non-coding RNA. RefSeq lists it as uncharacterized. The transcript is spliced from 2 exons. NCBI's taxonomy places the organism in Eukaryota, Metazoa, Chordata, Mammalia, Carnivora, Felidae. The record is from RefSeq and is a predicted model, not a curated record.
CGCCCUACAGACGCACACUCCAGCAACAGUGACUGGGCAGACAGGAGCAGCAGUCAGAGCCGGUGAGCCAUGUGGACUUCAGAGCACUCCCAGCUGCCACAAAAAUCCCGUGGCCUCGCCCUGUUCAAGAGGUUUUUAAAUGGCACUCCUAGCACUAAGUGAACACCAGCGAGAUCUUGCCAUGAUCUCUGUUUUUUUCCAGUUUUACUGGCAAAUAA